CCAGGACCCUGGAAUCAUGACCUGAGUCGAAGGCAGCCGCUUACCCAACUGAGCCACGCAGGCUUCCCCCUCAGUAUACUCUUAAGGAUUGGGGAGAUGAGUCUGGGAUGGAGGAACAGACUUGGGAAUUAUCAGCCUAUUGAUAGUGCUUAAAACCCUGAGCCUAGAGGAAACCACUGAGGGAGUGAGUGGAUAGAGAGGAGAGGAGGUGUGAAACUCAGCCCAGGGUCUCCAGCAUUUCAGGAUUGAGGAGACAAGGACAGACCAGCAAGGUGACUGAACAGGGUCAGUGUUGGCUAGUGACUGGGAAGGAGUCAAGGAACAUGGGAGACCAUGGGAACAUGUGUGCUAAGUGGGGGAGAGUGAGCAAGUGUAUCAAAGCUGCUCAUGCAGUGGAAGAAGACGUCUGAAUGCUCACUGAUCAUGAACCUGACCUCUGUGGAGGUCAUGGGGCAAGAGCAGCUCCAGACUCAUCUACUCUAGCUAGAGGAGGAGAUUUAGCAAAGCAGGAGGAGGAGAGAAGACAAGAGUACCGUCCCCUCAUUGCCGGCGAAUGGCAUUCUCUUCAUCUCUCCGUGGGCUGGGAGGAGAACACAGCAGCAUAUGCUCCCCUAUAGGGAAAGAGUACAGAGUACCCUCCUGAGUUCCCUUCCCUCACAGAAAACGAACGAACUGUGUGGAGCCAAAGAAAAUACGAUCACACCCUUCCUGACACUUAGAGCUGUGGGGGCCAAGUGUAAUUGGCCUAGAGAAACAGCUCAAUAAAAGGC
Molecule: long non-coding RNA, 770 nt
Filed under: Mustela putorius furo (domestic ferret)
Lineage: Eukaryota; Metazoa; Chordata; Mammalia; Carnivora; Mustelidae
Description: lncRNA (ENSMPUG00000031875.1)
Source: RNAcentral